CCUACGGGAGGCUGCAGUGGGGAAUAUUGCACAAUGGACGCAAGCCUGAUGCAGCCAUGCCGCGUGUGUGAAGAAGGCCUUCGGGUUGUAAAGCACUUUCAGCGGGGAGGAAGGCGGUGAGGUUAAUAACCUCAUCGAUUGACGUUACCCGCAGAAGAAGCACCGGCUAACUCCGUGCCAGCAGCCGCGGUAAUACGGAGGGUGCAAGCGUUAAUCGGAAUUACUGGGCGUAAAGCGCACGCAGGCGGUCUGUCAAGUCGGAUGUGAAAUCCCCGGACUCAACCUGGGAACUGCAUUCGAAACUGGCAGGCUAGAGUCUUGUAGAGGGGGGUAGAAUUCCAGGUGUAGCGGUGAAAUGCGUAGAGAUCUGGAGGAAUACCGGUGGCGAAGGCGGCCCCCUGGACAAAGACUGACGCUCAGGUGCGAAAGCGUGGGGAGCAAACAGGAUUAGAUACCCGUGUAGUC
This 465-nucleotide ribosomal RNA is filed under the name uncultured Klebsiella sp. RNAcentral describes it as "bacterial SSU rRNA". It matches the Rfam family "Bacterial small subunit ribosomal RNA", at positions 338 to 795 of the family's 1533-position model. Lineage: Bacteria; Pseudomonadati; Pseudomonadota; Gammaproteobacteria; Enterobacterales; Enterobacteriaceae. The record is from RNAcentral.